UUAUUCUUGCGAUAAAUUACAAAACAAGUUCUGACAGUAUGGGCUUUGCCACAUGACAUGAUGUUGACAUUUUCUUUCCACACUUGUUGAUAGAAACAUUCAAGAACUGAGGACAUUCAAAGGGGUCCUCCUAUCUUGCUCAUUUCAGGGGGCUUUUAACAUGAUAUUGAAUUCCAACACGCUCGGAUUCCUCAGCUUCCUCCUCAACUUUCUGUUGCGAUCGUCCAGAUGAAUAUGAUAAUACCACUUCUGAGAGAGGUCCUACUGAC
Entelurus aequoreus (snake pipefish) is the source of this 269-nucleotide long non-coding RNA. RefSeq lists it as uncharacterized. The record is from RefSeq and is a predicted model, not a curated record. The transcript is spliced from 3 exons. Lineage: Eukaryota; Metazoa; Chordata; Actinopteri; Syngnathiformes; Syngnathidae.